Molecule: long non-coding RNA, 587 nt
Filed under: Heterocephalus glaber (naked mole-rat)
Lineage: Eukaryota; Metazoa; Chordata; Mammalia; Rodentia; Bathyergidae
Description: lncRNA (ENSHGLG00000043787.1)
Source: RNAcentral
CUUUGAAAUGGGUUAGUGGUCUCUGGUCUUUAUUUGAGACGGUCUCACUGUGCAGUUCAGGCUGGCCUUGGACUCACUAUGUGGCCCAGGUGGCCUCAAGCUCAAGCGAUCCUCCUGCAUCGAUCGGCCUCCCGAGUGCUGAGAGUACAGGUGUGCACCACUUCGCCUGACUUGGUCUCUCUUAACUCCCUUUUCAGGUCUCCACUGUGCGACUUGUCAGCCCCGCCAGGCUUUGGAGCCGCCUCCUUCCAUCACUAGACCACUGCUAACAAGGGCCAGGCUGCAUCUGGUGGUGCCCAGCUUCCUCAAAGGGACUCGGAGGGGCCGCUGCCUGAAUAAGAUGGAGCCACCAGAAAAAUCACCCCUGCUCCAGACACAAAGGAGGCUGGGAGUCUGAACUCAAGGUGUCCACAGAACCCUGCUCCCUAAGAAGGCUCAAAAGGAAGACACUUCUUGCCUCUUCCAGCUUCCAGUGGCCCCAGGGGCUGACUAGCUGGUAGCAGCUUCACUCCAACCUGUCACAUGGACAUCUGCCCUCGGAGUCUGUCUCUUCCUGUAAGGUCCCAGUCACAGUGGCUCUGCCCCAG